Molecule: transfer RNA, 89 nt
Filed under: uncultured archaeon
Lineage: Archaea
Description: tRNA-Leu(taa)
Rfam family: tRNA
About the family: Transfer RNA (tRNA) molecules are approximately 80 nucleotides in length. Their secondary structure includes four short double-helical elements and three loops (D, anti-codon, and T loops). Further hydrogen bonds mediate the characteristic L-shaped molecular structure. tRNAs have two regions of fundamental functional importance: the anti-codon, which is responsible for specific mRNA codon recognition, and the 3' end, to which the tRNAs corresponding amino acid is attached (by aminoacyl-tRNA synthetases). tRNAs cope with the degeneracy of the genetic code in two manners: having more than one tRNA (with a specific anti-codon) for a particular amino acid; and 'wobble' base-pairing, i.e. permitting non-standard base-pairing at the 3rd anti-codon position.
Source: RNAcentral
GGGCUUGUGGCGAAACUGGCAGACGCGCCCUACUUAAGAUGGGGUGCCCCGAGAGGGGCGUGUGGGUUCAAAUCCCACCUUGCCCACCA